RNAcentral lists this unclassified non-coding RNA (352 nucleotides) under soil metagenome. RNAcentral's name for it is "partial contains 5.8S ribosomal RNA, internal transcribed spacer 2, and large subunit ribosomal RNA". The stretch from base 1 to 120 matches the Rfam family "5.8S ribosomal RNA", at positions 35 to 154 of the family's 154-position model. The record is from RNAcentral.
GAUGAAGAACGCAGCGAAAUGCGAUAAGUAAUGUGAAUUGCAGAAUUCAGUGAAUCAUCGAAUCUUUGAACGCACAUUGCGCCCGCCAGUAUUCUGGCGGGCAUGCCUGUUCGAGCGUCAUUACAACCCUCAGGCCCCCGGGCCUGGCGUUGGGGAUCGGCGGAGCCCCCCGUGGGCACACGCCGUCCCCCAAAUACAGUGGCGGUCCCGCCGCAGCUUCCAUCGCGUAGUAGCUAACACCUCGCGACUGGAGAGCGGCGCGGCCACGCCGUAAAACACCCAACUCUUCUGAAGUUGACCUCGAAUCAGGUAGGAAUACCCGCUGAACUUAUGCAUAUCAAUAAGCGGAGGA